This 498-nucleotide ribosomal RNA is filed under the name uncultured bacterium. Its description in RNAcentral is "partial 16S ribosomal RNA". It matches the Rfam family "Bacterial small subunit ribosomal RNA", at positions 28 to 523 of the family's 1533-position model. The record is from RNAcentral.
GUUGAACGCUGGCGGCAUGCCUUACACAUGCAAGUCGAACGGUAACAGGUCUUCGGAUGCUGACGAGUGGCGAACGGGUGAGUAAUACAUCGGAACGUGCCUAGUAGUGGGGGAUAACUACUCGAAAGAGUGGCUAAUACCGCAUGAGAUCUACGGAUGAAAGCAGGGGAUCGCAAGACCUUGUGCUACUAGAGCGGCCGAUGGCAGAUUAGGUAGUUGGUGGGAUAAAAGCUUACCAAGCCGACGAUCUGUAGCUGGUCUGAGAGGACGAUCAGCCACACUGGGACUGAGACACGGCCCAGACUCCUACGGGAGGCAGCAGUGGGGAAUUUUGGACAAUGGGCGCAAGCCUGAUCCAGAAAUGCCGCGUGCAGGAUGAAGGCCUUCGGGUUGUAAACUGCUUUUGUACGGAACGAAAAGCCCCGGGUUAAUACCCUGGGGUCAUGACGGUACCGUAAGAAUAAGCACCGGCUAACUACGUGCCAGCCGCCGCCGUAA